AUUUUUUCCAUUUUGCCUGCCAAGGAGAAUUAGCGUAAUUCUAAUUUUAUCCCUGCCUAAAAAGCUGUAAUGUCCGUUAAGGGGAUGCAAAACGUCGAGGUCCUAUAAAGGUGGCGCUCCUCAUGCAACGACGGAGAUUAUAAGAGUCCGUCUCCUGAUCUCCCCAAUUAAUUCUUUGAGCCAUGACUUCUCGGAAAUUUCUCCAGAAUCAACUCGUGGCCGCAGUGGUACAGAAAUGUGAUACUCUUCGUUCCUUUCUCUCCGUCAAUGCGUUGAGCUAUGACUUCUCGGAAAGAUCUGGAGAAUGAACUCGCGACCGCAGUUCAUCUACAGAGCAUGAUCCCAGAUCUUCUCCUGCAAACUGCCUGGGAAUAUUUUUUUUGCAAAGUUUAGAAUCUCCAAACACAGAUGAUGAAAACAAACAAAAUGAAUAAAGGCUGUUCAAGUCAGUAAGUUUUGAGCUGAUUCCCAAACCGUUUUGAAAUUUGAAGAAGCUCAAUCUUCUUUGCCAUGUUUGCAGCUUCACACUUCAAAUGCUGCAAGGAUCCAAUUAGAGUGAGAAAAAUCAGGAAACUGUUGUAUGAAGUAUGCUUAAGCAUAAUGUAUAUUCUUCAAAUGCUGCAUGUGGACUCUUUCACUGUGAGCAAAGUUGGGCAAAAAUUGUUCCUUGCAUGCUUGUAGUUGCUUUGACACAUGAAUUAUGCAGCAGCCAUCAUGGUAACUAAAAAGACAACUGAUGUGUCUCAUCAACCAUGAGGCUCAUUGAACAAUUUUGAUGCUGUCACUGUCAGUUGUAGUCAUUUGCAAUAUGCAAAAUUUCCUAAGCGUAUCAAUUUAUUUUUCUUGUCCUUUUGGAUUUUCAUAAUAUUACAUGAAUGGAUCCAGGAGCUGUGUGCAGAUGUGAGGAUAUAAAAAUAUCAACUGAAGAUCUAUCCUUAUUUCCCCAUAAACUAACACAGCUUCCCUAAAUCUGAUGGCCCAGUCAUCUCUCAUAUUUCUGUUUUGAUAGAAACUGCAUUUGUAGGCAUUACUAUAAGCGCAAGCUAGCAGGGGACAAAAAGGAAGAUAAGGCACUAAUCGCCAGUCAUAUCAUUAGAAACUUUCUCCAAAUGAUGGGUCAUGAGGUCAUCAGGAGUUCAAUAUGAAAGCUCCUUUACACCCAGCAAGUAAUUACAUAUUCGUUACUUUUUGUACUUGGAAAGUUCAUCUGGAAGAUUUCAGGAUUUUUUCCUUGUUGGCCUGGUCUUUCAGUAGAGUAGACAAAAUCUUUAUAGUAUUCUUGUGGUUGACAAUGCUUGGAUUUGAAUUGUUUGCUUGCUGUACAUGUUUAAUUUGUGAAGAUGAUAGAGCGAAAUGUUAUACAAGGUGUCAAGUAUCGGUACGAGUAGCUUAUUGGUAAGGUGGUUUUAAGAGAAGUCUAAGAGAUGUAGUGGAGUGAUGCUAGAUAAAUUAGAAUGUAUACUAAUGAUAUAUGUAAAAUUAGUGUUUUAAA
This is a long non-coding RNA of Macadamia integrifolia, 1492 nucleotides long. RefSeq lists it as uncharacterized. The transcript has 3 exons. NCBI's taxonomy places the organism in Eukaryota, Viridiplantae, Streptophyta, Magnoliopsida, Proteales, Proteaceae. The record is from RefSeq and is a predicted model, not a curated record.